AGCUUUGCGCAGUGGCAGUAUCGUAGCCAAUGAGGUUUAUCCGAGGCGCGAUUAUUGCUAAUUGAAAAAGUAAAUGAAUAAUAUACAGUCAUCCAUCCACAGAGGAUUAAUUCCAGGAUCUUCCCCCUG
Molecule: small nuclear RNA, 129 nt
Filed under: Rattus norvegicus (Norway rat)
Lineage: Eukaryota; Metazoa; Chordata; Mammalia; Rodentia; Muridae
Description: U4 spliceosomal RNA
Rfam family: U4 spliceosomal RNA
About the family: U4 small nuclear RNA (U4 snRNA) is a component of the major U2-dependent spliceosome. The structure of U4 snRNA from yeast and human has been reported. U4 snRNA presents a k-turn RNA motif in the 5p-SL related to recognition of Snu13 protein.
Source: Rfam by way of RNAcentral